GUGCUAGCUUCGGCAGCACAUAUACUAAAAUUGGAACAAUAUGGAGAAGAUUAGCAUAGCCCCUGCACAAGGAUGACACGCGAAUUCGUGAAGCAUUCCAUAUUUUU
This 107-nucleotide small nuclear RNA is filed under the name Theropithecus gelada (gelada). Lineage: Eukaryota; Metazoa; Chordata; Mammalia; Primates; Cercopithecidae. The record is from RNAcentral.